This is a non-coding RNA of Phthorimaea operculella (potato tuberworm), 70 nucleotides long. The record is from the annotation of a GenBank genome assembly. Lineage: Eukaryota; Metazoa; Arthropoda; Insecta; Lepidoptera; Gelechiidae.
GAAUGUCGUGCACCGGUAGUGCGAUUGCCUGCGACGCAAAAGGUUCCGGGUUCGAAUCCCGGGGGGUUCU